GAUAAACGCUGGCGGCGUGCCUAACACAUGCAAGUCGAACGCCCUGGAGCAAUUCAGGGAGUGGCGGACGGGUGAGGAACACGUGGGUGAUCUACCUUGAGGUGAGGAAUACCGGCGAGAAAUCGCCGACAAUACCGCAUACGUUCGUAAGAACAAAGUCGCAAGACGCCUGAAGAUGAGCCUGCGUCCGAUUAGCCAGUUGGUGGGGUAAUGGCCUACCAAAGCAGCGAUCGGUAGCUGGUCUGAGAGGACGAUCAGCCACACUGGGAUUGAGAACGGCCCAGACUCCUACGGGGGGCGA
This 301-nucleotide ribosomal RNA is filed under the name uncultured bacterium. RNAcentral's name for it is "bacterial SSU rRNA". It matches the Rfam family "Bacterial small subunit ribosomal RNA", at positions 28 to 351 of the family's 1533-position model. The record is from RNAcentral.